CACGUAGGCGGGAACUUAAGUCAGGUGUGAAAGACCGUGGCUCAACCACGGGGUGGCAUUUGAAACUGGGUUUCUUGAGGGCAGGAGAGGAAAGCAGAAUUCCUGGUGUAGCGGUGAAAUGCGUAGAAAUCAGGAGGAAUACCAGUGGCGAAGGCGGCUUUCUGGACUGACCCUGACGCUGAGGUGCGAAAGCGUGGGUAGCAAACA
This 207-nucleotide ribosomal RNA is filed under the name uncultured Syntrophomonadaceae bacterium. RNAcentral's name for it is "partial 16S ribosomal RNA". It matches the Rfam family "Bacterial small subunit ribosomal RNA", at positions 568 to 774 of the family's 1533-position model. Lineage: Bacteria; Bacillati; Bacillota; Clostridia; Eubacteriales; Syntrophomonadaceae. The record is from RNAcentral.